AGAUUGAACGCUGGCGGUAUGCUUAACACAUGCAAGUCGAACGGUAACAGCGAUCCCUUCGGGGUGAACUGCUGACGAGUGGCGGACGGGUGAGUAAUACUUAGGAAUCUACCCAGUAGCGGGGGACAACACGACGAAAGUCGUGCUAAUACCGCAUACGCCCUAAGGGGGAAAGUGGAGGAUCUUCGGACUUCACGCUAUUGGAUGAGCCUAAGCCGGAUUAGCUUGUUGGUGGGGUAAUGGCCUACCAAGGCAACGAUCCGUAGCUGGUCUGAGAGGACGAUCAGCCACACUGGGACUGAGACACGGCCCAGACUCCUACGGGAGGCAGCAGUGGGGAAUAUUGGACAAUGGGCGCAAGCCUGAUCCAGCAAUACCGCGUGUGUGAAGAAGGCCUGCGGGUUGUAAAGCACUUUCAGUAGAGAAGAAAAGCUUAGGGUUAAUACCCCUGGGUCUUGACGUAACCUACAGAAGAAGCACCGGCUAACUCCGUGCCAGCAGCCGCGGUAAUACGGGGGGUGCAAGCGUUAAUCGGAAUUACUGGGCGUAAAGCGCGCGUAGGCGGUCUGGUCAGUCGGAUGUGAAAGCCCCGGGCUCAACCUGGGAAUUGCAUUCGAUACUGCCCGACUAGAAUAUGGAAGAGGGAAGUGGAAUUUCCGGUGUAGCGGUGAAAUGCGUAGAGAUCGGAAGGAACACCAGUGGCGAAGGCGGCUUCCUGGUCCAAUAUUGACGCUGAGGUGCGAAAGCGUGGGGAGCGAACAGGAUUAGAUACCCUGGUAGUCCACGCCGUAAACGAUGAGAACUAGAUGUCGGAAGGGUUUAGCCUUUCGGUGUCGCAGCUAACGCGUUAAGUUCUCCGCCUGGGGAGUACGGUGGCAACACUA
This 884-nucleotide ribosomal RNA is filed under the name uncultured bacterium. RNAcentral's name for it is "bacterial SSU rRNA". It matches the Rfam family "Bacterial small subunit ribosomal RNA", at positions 26 to 896 of the family's 1533-position model. The record is from RNAcentral.